CGCGUAGGCGGCCAAGCAAGUCCUGGGUGAAAUCCCUCGGCUCAACCGAGGAACUGCCUCGGAAACUGCAUGGCUCGAGGCCGGGAGAGGGUAGCGGAAUUCCCAGUGUAGCGGUGAAAUGCGUAGAUAUUGGGAGGAACACCGGUGGCGAAGGCGGCUACCUGGACCGGUUCUGACGCUGAUGCGCGAAAGCGUGGGGAAGCAAACA
RNAcentral lists this ribosomal RNA (208 nucleotides) under uncultured bacterium. RNAcentral describes it as "partial 16S ribosomal RNA". It matches the Rfam family "Bacterial small subunit ribosomal RNA", at positions 568 to 774 of the family's 1533-position model. The record is from RNAcentral.